UGUUAAAAUUUCAUCCAUUUUUACUAUUAAAAACUAGCGUGAUUGACGGAAUAACCAAAUAGUUACAUGUGGUGUACUAUGUGUACUUCAUGUUAAUGUAUAGGAACUAAUUUUUAAUACUAAUAAUGAAUGAAAUUUUUAAUA
Molecule: non-coding RNA, 144 nt
Organism: Gossypium raimondii (Peruvian cotton)
Lineage: Eukaryota; Viridiplantae; Streptophyta; Magnoliopsida; Malvales; Malvaceae
Source: Rfam